This 78-nucleotide transfer RNA is filed under the name Symbiodinium microadriaticum. It matches the Rfam family "tRNA". From Rfam's summary of the family: Transfer RNA (tRNA) molecules are approximately 80 nucleotides in length. Their secondary structure includes four short double-helical elements and three loops (D, anti-codon, and T loops). Further hydrogen bonds mediate the characteristic L-shaped molecular structure. tRNAs have two regions of fundamental functional importance: the anti-codon, which is responsible for specific mRNA codon recognition, and the 3' end, to which the tRNAs corresponding amino acid is attached (by aminoacyl-tRNA synthetases). tRNAs cope with the degeneracy of the genetic code in two manners: having more than one tRNA (with a specific anti-codon) for a particular amino acid; and 'wobble' base-pairing, i.e. permitting non-standard base-pairing at the 3rd anti-codon position. The record is from Rfam by way of RNAcentral. Lineage: Eukaryota; Dinophyceae; Suessiales; Symbiodiniaceae.
GCUCGUGUGGCCUAAUGGAUAAGGCGCCUCCCUCCUAAGGAGGAGAUUGGAGUGUCCUCAUGGAAUCCUCCACGUGCC